AGUGAACGCUGGCGGCAGGCCUAAUACAUGCAAGUCGAACGGCAGCACGGUGGAGCUUGCUCCAUGGGUGGCGAGUGGCGGACGGGUGAGGAAUACAUGGGAAUCUGCCCAGUCGUGGGGGAUAACGUAGGGAAACUUACGCUAAUACCGCAUGCGCCCUAUGGGGGAAAGCCGGGGACCUUCGGGCCUGGCGCGAUUGGAUGAGCCCAUGUGCGAUUAGCUAGUUGGCGGGGUAAAGGCCCACCAAGGCGACGAUCGCUAGCUGGUCUGAGAGGAUGAUCAGCCACACUGGGACUGAGACACGGCCCAGACUCCUACGGGAGGCAGCAGUAGGGAAUAUUGGACAAUGGGGGCAACCCUGAUCCAGCCAUGCCGCGUGAGUGAAGAAGGCCUUCGGGUUGUAAAGCUCUUUUGUCCGGAAAGAAAAGCUACGGGUUAAUACCCCGGAG
Molecule: ribosomal RNA, 449 nt
Filed under: uncultured Thermomonas sp.
Lineage: Bacteria; Pseudomonadati; Pseudomonadota; Gammaproteobacteria; Lysobacterales; Lysobacteraceae
Description: bacterial SSU rRNA
Rfam family: Bacterial small subunit ribosomal RNA
Source: RNAcentral